Small nucleolar RNA from Rhodamnia argentea, 126 nucleotides. NCBI's taxonomy places the organism in Eukaryota, Viridiplantae, Streptophyta, Magnoliopsida, Myrtales, Myrtaceae. The record is from RefSeq and is a predicted model, not a curated record.
AUCCCGGAUAAAAUUCAUUAUGUCUAUCCGAUUCAUGGGAGGCAAAAAAUGAUGGGGAAAGUUUAGCUGGUGGCACCUUUUGCAGUUUUGGGGGAAGGUGCCCUGUUAAUAACUAACCGUACAUUG